Molecule: non-coding RNA, 148 nt
Filed under: Chlorocebus sabaeus (green monkey)
Lineage: Eukaryota; Metazoa; Chordata; Mammalia; Primates; Cercopithecidae
Source: Rfam by way of RNAcentral
GCCAGGUGUGGUGGCGGGUGCCUGUAAUCCCAGCUACUCAGGAGGCUGAGGCAGGAGAAUCGCUUGAACCCGGGAGGUGGAGGUUGCAGUGAGUUGAGAUAGCGCCACUGCACCCCAGCCUGGGUGACAGAGUGAGACUCUGUCUCAA